This 253-nucleotide ribosomal RNA is filed under the name uncultured bacterium. Its description in RNAcentral is "partial 16S ribosomal RNA". It matches the Rfam family "Bacterial small subunit ribosomal RNA", at positions 524 to 776 of the family's 1533-position model. The record is from RNAcentral.
UACGGAGGGUGCAAGCGUUAAUCGGAAUUACUGGGCGUAAAGGGUGCGCAGGUGGUUUGAUAAGAUAUCUGUGAAAUCCCCGGGCUCAACCUGGGAAGGUCAGAUAAGACUGUCAGACUCGAGUAUGGGAGAGGGUAGUGGAAUUUCCGGUGUAGCGGUGAAAUGCGUAGAGAUCGGAAGGAACACCAGUGGCGAAGGCGGCUACCUGGCCUAAUACUGACACUGAGGCACGAAAGCGUGGGGAGCAAACAGG